This is a regulatory RNA element of Peptoniphilus sp. ING2-D1G, 68 nucleotides long. The record is from Rfam. NCBI's taxonomy places the organism in Bacteria, Bacillati, Bacillota, Tissierellia, Tissierellales, Peptoniphilaceae.
AAUUAACUGUAACCGCUCGGAUUAGGUUUAAAAACAGAUUACCUAUGACGGCGAGUCUUGAUAUUAUG